UUAACUCUGACUGUUACAUUGACCGUUACGACAGUUGAGGCCCACACAUGAAUCCCUUACAAAAAAACCAAUCAGGUCCUUGUGAGUUUUUAUUAAUAAGUAAUCGGGUCUCUACCACCUGCACCGGCCAUGGCAGUGUGGCUGCAUGCACCACCUGCGCCGGGCCGUGGCUGCACUGGCAGCGGUGGCGCCGACCUGCGCCAGCAAAUCGGAGUACACUAUUUCACUACAGAAGAAGUAUUAUACGUAUAUGCUAGCAAACUAUAAGUAAGUUUAACACAACAAUUCAGCAAACACAAGUUGGGCCUUAAUUUAUACACGCGUCAGUGUUAUUUCCAUACCAUCGAACACUCGGAUCUAGGAGUAUUUUCCAUAAACAUUGCUGGUUGCAAAUGCUUUGGGCAUCGAUUUAAUGAAUGCUACAAUAGCUUGCCCCUUUAAAACUGAUGUGAACUCAGUUGUGCAACCGUGUUCUUGUCUACUAAUUACAGUACCAUGAAAAAAAUGAAACUCCAUGGGCACUAGCACCCAUGGUUUAUUGAUAUAGAAGAAGCAUCCCUAAUGAGAAACCAGAAAUUCGUCCCCGACGUGGAUCGAACCCUGGUUGCUGAAGACGCCACUGCGCUCCCUUGCCACUAGGCUACAACCUAGUUCUCACUAAUUACAGUACCAUGGUUGAUAGAACGGUAGCGACGGAGCAUCUCUCUAACACGAGGAUGGCCUAAAUAAGGAUAUCGAUUUUUCUUUUGCGAGGGACGGACCACGACUCCGACACCGAGUCGGUUACGCACAAGCCGCAGAGCCACGGCCGUCUAUAUACCAUGAUGUGUAUGUAACUCUCACGUCCAUGCAUCUGAAUCUGAACAUCUGAUCUCAUUUGAAGCACCUCCUAUCCCCUCCUGGUGUGGUGUUGAGUAGCGAGGGCGCUUGCUCGAGGCCAUCCCUCGCGCAUGCGCUGGGCUCGAUGAUUAAUGGCCCGGAGGACACGAUGCCGUUUGCUGAUCCAAGACUACUAUAGUGGUCGACGCCUGGAUGUUUCAUGAGCCAUGCUUAUUCAACAUGAAUUCUGCGACAAGACCCUCGAGCUUCUGGGUGGAACGGCUGGUGACCCACACAUGCCUCAAUACAUCGCACUGCAUGUUGAGUCCAUGAAUGUGUUUGAGCGGAAGUGCGCUCCGUGGACGUGGAAAGCCACAUUGCCUCCUUCCACCAUGCGGUACAUUAGCAGUCAUGGGAAGACCUUCGCAAUGGCCACUCAUGCACAUGAGUCGAUGGAGACGCUGUAGCUUUUGCGCAAAGCUGCCAUGAGGCUUGUAAUAUAAAUAUGCGUGGCGAACCUUAACCCUAACCCUUUCUUAUUUUGGUAUACUCCAAUAUCUCAUCCUCUCUAUAUCUAUAGCCUCUUCUUAGUACUCAGCAUUAAUGGGAUUUUGAGUGGGCUAAACAUAGAGAAAAACUUGGUAUUUAUACCGCGCUAGGAUAACUCAUGCCUAUAUGGAGUAGUCAUACGACUUAGGUGAAGCUAACUAACUUUGUCAUGCAAUGCUCAAGCGAUUUGAAGAAACGCACAUUUGCG
Molecule: long non-coding RNA, 1576 nt
Filed under: Hordeum vulgare
Lineage: Eukaryota; Viridiplantae; Streptophyta; Magnoliopsida; Poales; Poaceae
Description: long non-coding RNA (HVUL_LNC012856)
Source: RNAcentral